GAUGAACGCUGGCGGCGUGCCUAAUACAUGCAAGUCGAGCGAACGGACGAGAAGCUUGCUUCUCUGAUGUUAGCGGCGGACGGGUGAGUAACACGUGGAUAACCUACCUAUAAGACUGGGAUAACUUCGGGAAACCGUAGCUAAUACCGGAUAAUAUUUUGAACCGCAUGGUUCAAAAGUGAAAGACGGUCUUGCUGUCACUUAUAGAUGGAUCCGCGCUGCAUUAGCUAGUUGGUAAGGUAACGGCUUACCAAGGCAACGAUGCAUAGCCGACCUGAGAGGGUGAUCGGUCACACUGGAACUGAGACACGGUCCAGACUCCUACGGGAGACAGCAGUAGGGAAUCUUCCGCAAUGGGCGAAAGCCUGACGGAGCAACGCCGCGUGAGUGAUGAAGGUCUUCGGAUCGUAAAACUCUGUUAUUAGGGAAGAACAUAUGUGUAAGUAACUGUGCACAUCUUGACGGUACCUAAUCAGAAAGCCACGGCUAACUACGUG
This 497-nucleotide ribosomal RNA is filed under the name uncultured bacterium. RNAcentral describes it as "partial 16S ribosomal RNA". It matches the Rfam family "Bacterial small subunit ribosomal RNA", at positions 28 to 507 of the family's 1533-position model. The record is from RNAcentral.